AUGCUUCAUAUACUUACUUUCCUUCAUAUCAAAUCUCUCGUUAACUCUGCAAGGUAUGUUUGCAAAUCCUGGGCCGCUACUAUUCCAACCUCCCAAUUCGCUCUGGCACGCCUACUACAUUCCAAACCCUCUCUUUAUGUUGAAAAUUGCGACUUUCGAUCUAGAUCUUAUAUCUUGGAUAUCAAAACUCAUGUCAAUGGUCAGUUUGAAUUUGAAAGGACCGAUUUCAGAGCAUCUUCAAGAAUGAAAAGAAUUAUCCUUAACAGAUCUCGGCAUUGA
Vicia faba (fava bean) is the source of this 279-nucleotide non-coding RNA. Lineage: Eukaryota; Viridiplantae; Streptophyta; Magnoliopsida; Fabales; Fabaceae. The record is from the annotation of a GenBank genome assembly.